GUCUACGGCCAUACCACCCUGAACGCGCCCGAUCUCGUCUGAUCUCGGAAGCUAAGCAUGGUCGGGCCUGGUUAGUACUUGGAUGGGAGAAGUUUCUGUACUGCAAAAG
This 109-nucleotide ribosomal RNA is filed under the name Oryctolagus cuniculus (rabbit). Lineage: Eukaryota; Metazoa; Chordata; Mammalia; Lagomorpha; Leporidae. The record is from RNAcentral.